UGAGGGGCCGUGGAGGUAUCGGAAGUGCGAAUGAUGACAUGAGUAGCGACAAACAGGGUGAGAGACCCUGUCGCCGAAAGUCCAAGGGUUCCUGCUUAAAGCUAAUCUGAGCAGGGUAAGCCGACCCCUAAGGCGAGGCCGAAAGGCGUAGUCGAUGGGAAACAGGUUAAUAUUCCUGUACUUGGUGGUAGUGACGGAUGCCGUGUGUUGUAUCUCCUUAUUGGAUUGGGGGUGCAGCGAAGGUGUUCCAGGAAAUAGCUCCACCGUAUAAACCGUACCCGAAACCGACACAGGUGGACUGGUAGAGAAUACCAAGGCGCUUGAGAGAACUAUGCUGAAGGAACUCGGCAAAAUGCUCCCGUAAGUUCGCGAGAAGGGAGACCUGUACUUGGGCAACCAGGUAUAGGUGGCACAGAAAUGGGGGUGGCGACUGUUUAUCAAAAACACAGGGCUCUGCGAAGUCGCAAGACGACGUAUAGGGUCUGACGCCUGCCCGGUGCUGGAAGGUUAAGAGGAGGUGUGCAAGCACCGAAUUGAAGCCCCAGUAAACGGCGGCCGUAACUAUAACGGUCCUAAGGUAGCGAAAUUCCUUGUCGGGUAAGUUCCGACCUGCACGAAUGGCGUAACGACUUCCCCGCUGUCUCCAGCAUAGACUCAGUGAAAUUGAAUUCCCCGUGAAGAUGCGGGGUUCCUGCGGUCAGACGGAAAGACCCCGUGCACCUU
Molecule: ribosomal RNA, 723 nt
Filed under: Symbiodinium sp. Mp
Lineage: Eukaryota; Dinophyceae; Suessiales; Symbiodiniaceae
Description: partial Bacterial large subunit ribosomal RNA
Rfam family: Bacterial large subunit ribosomal RNA
Source: RNAcentral